GGGCCGCAGCUUGGGGCGCGCCAAGUGCCGCGCGUACCGCGGCGGUGGGGAUGGCGGCCGGGGCGGAGAGGCCGGACCCUGGCGCGGGGCGCUCGUGGGAAGGGGCGCCGCACGAGUGAAGAGGGAGCCUCCUUUUCAGAGCAGGCCGAGCCCCGCUGGGCGAGGAGCGCCGGUGCCGCCGCGGCAGAGCGGGGUUAGCUGGGAGCGAUGGGCGACUGGAGCUUCUUGGGGCGGCUGCUGGAGAACGCGCAGGAGCACUCCACAGUCAUCGGCAAGGUGUGGCUGACCGUGCUGUUCAUCUUCCGAAUCCUGGUGCUGGGGGCAGCGGCCGAGGAGGUGUGGGGCGACGAGCAGUCAGACUUCACCUGCAACACGCAGCAGCCCGGCUGUGAGAACGUCUGCUACGACCGUGCCUUCCCCAUCUCGCACAUCCGCUUCUGGGCGCUGCAGAUCAUCUUCGUGUCCACGCCCACCCUCAUCUACCUGGGCCACGUGCUGCACAUCGUGCGCAUGGAGGAGAAGAAGAGGGAGCGGGAGGAGGAGCUGCUGAGGAGAGACAACCCUCAGCACGGCCGUGGCCGCGAGCCGAUGCGUACAGCGAGUCCGCGGGACCCGCCACUGCGUGAUGACCGCGGUAAGGUGCGCAUUGCCGGCGCGCUGCUGCGGACCUACGUCUUCAACAUCAUCUUCAAGACGCUCUUCGAGGUGGGCUUCAUCGCGGGCCAGUACUUUCUAUAUGGCUUCCAGCUGCAGCCACUUUACCGCUGUGACCGCUGGCCCUGCCCCAACACGGUAGACUGCUUCAUCUCUAGGCCCACGGAGAAGACCAUCUUCGUCAUCUUCAUGCUUGCUGUGGCCUGUGCGUCACUGGUGCUCAACAUGCUGGAGAUUUACCACCUGGGCUGGAAGAAGCUCAAGCAGGGGGUUACCAACCACUUCAGCCCAGAUGCCUCAGAAACCAAACACAAGCCCUUGGAACCCCAACCUCAGGCCUCCAGCUCUGAUCCGCCCAGCGCCUCCAUUGGGCUCCCACCUUACUACACACACCCCGCCUGUCCCCCAAUACAAGCCAGGGCCACAGGGUUCCCUGGGGGCCCACCACCACCACCGGCAGACUUCACAGUGGUAACCCUGAAUGAUGCACAAGGCAGAGACCCCCCUGUCAAGCACUGUAAUGGCCACCAUCUAGUCACAGAGCAGAACUGGACCAGCCGAGUGCCGGAGCGGCAGACUCCAGCCAGCAAGGCCUCUUCGGCAGCGUCCAGCCCUGAGGGUCGGAAGGGGCUCACGGACAGCAGUGGCAGCAGCUUAGAGGAGAGUGCCUUGGUGGUGACGCCAGAGGAGGGAGAGCAGGCCUUGGCCACCACAGUGGAGAUGCAUUCCCCACCCUUGGCCCUCCUGGACCCAGGAAGGUCCAGCAAGGCCAGCAUCGGGCGGGCCAGACCUGGUGACUUGGCCAUCUAGCCAUAGUCUCUCCAGACAGCCUUAUAAACCUUCCCUUCCCUCCUUAGAAACAAACAACAGCAACAAAACCAAAAUGCAUUUCAAAUCAGCAGGUAGAGAGAGAGAAACCCUGACAGCGCUGGAGUCCCCGGAAACACCGAACAAACCCAGUCAGGUGUCUGUUUUAAUGCUUGCUGUUCCUGUCGCUGUGGGAUAGAGUGGGUCUGACACCAGCGUGUCUGAGAUUGAGAGGGGGCGGGGUCGUUGGCUCUUAAAGAUGCUCCCAGCAGCGGUUGCUCUCGGACUCCUCCAUCUGCAGUUACUGUUCUGCCGUGAUAAAGCAACAGGUGUUUGCAGCCCCUUCAGGGGGAGACAAUUGGGUUUCCAUUCCUAAGCUCUCCAAACAGCCCAGAGAGUCGCAGAGGCACUUAGCUCUAUCUCGGUUUGAUACUUUUAACUUAGAGUUGAAUUUCAUUUGGGAUAUUUGCCAAACUGUACUAAAAAAAGAUUUAGAGGGACUCUAUCUAGUGCCAUUUGAGUUUCUGGAAUUGCCUGUGAGGUCCAGGCUAUCCAACUGCAGGCUGCACAGCAAAUCGACAAAGAGCAGCUGCCCUCCAGAGGGCGGUUCUGGGGGGCAGGACCACAGCCAUUACUGGUAGAGGCAGGUGGAGAUGCAGAGACCCUGGAAAGCCCUCAGCAGAUGAGGAAAAUGACCACAGUGUGGCAGAGUGACUUCCCGAGUGAGGAAAUGGAACAGGUAACACGACAGCACUGGAUUGUGUCCACAUCCCCUUUCCUGGGACCUAUGAAUGUUAUCUCACUGCCAAAGAGACUUCCUAGAUCUGUCUAAAUUAAGGCUCCUGAAUGGGCACAUGAUCUGGGCUCUAAAGGUGGAAGACAUAUGAUCUCAAGGGUCCUCAGAAGAGAAGAGAAAGCCAUGUGACUGGGGAAGCAGAAAUGAGAGCGAUGCAUGAAUGUACAGUGCAUGCUACGUAUGUAUGUGCAUGCACAUCCACACAUCCACAAAGAAGAAAGAAAUUGAAGUGAUGGAUUUGGAAGACGGAGGAAGGCCGAGAGCCAAGGAGGGCAAGUAGCCACUGGAAGCACAGAGCCCAGCAGAGCUGACACCUUGAUUGGAGCCCGGUGCUGAUGUUGGAUUUCUGGCUUGCAGAAUGGUUAGGAUGAGAGAUUUCUACACUAAUCUCAUUGCGGUUUGUUGCAGGAACCACAGGGAAACCAACCCAAAUGACUUACUAGACCUCACUCCAAACUAGCCUGGAUCUUUCUACAUAGCCCUCCUGUUGACACCUGCUGAUAUGCUGGCUCGUUCAAGUAGUCCUGGAACUUGGGAAGCUGAGGCAAGAAGAUGCUGUGAGUCUGAGGCCAGUCAGUGCUACAUAAUUUCAGGACAGUCUGGAAAUGGUACCCCCACCCCAAGGAAGAACUUCUUCAUAUCCUACCACCUCUAUCCUGGCUGUCAUAUCCAGGAGAGAGAUGAGUCACCUUCACCGAUUUGUUUUGAAGGACACAGCUCGGGCAUAACCAGAGAGCAAAAAGAUGCCGAGGGCUAGGUGGGUGAUGUCACACCACCUCCCAGUACCAUGGAGCCUAGUACAGCUAAAAUGAUCUAAUUAGGAACAUGUCUAAAAGGGUUGUCAUUAUCGACAAUGUUUUGAUGACACCAGCCCUUUUUUUUUUUUUUUUUUUAAGCUUUGCAUUCUAUAAGUCACAUCCUGGAGGACCACAAAACAAAGGAAACAAUAAAUAUUUAAUACUCUGGGUUUCCUAUUAAUUUUUUCAGGCAGUUAAGUUUCUGGUUGAGC
Peromyscus maniculatus bairdii (prairie deer mouse) is the source of this 3266-nucleotide non-coding RNA. Lineage: Eukaryota; Metazoa; Chordata; Mammalia; Rodentia; Cricetidae. The record is from RefSeq and is a predicted model, not a curated record.